This 888-nucleotide ribosomal RNA is filed under the name uncultured bacterium. RNAcentral's name for it is "bacterial SSU rRNA". It matches the Rfam family "Bacterial small subunit ribosomal RNA", at positions 588 to 1468 of the family's 1533-position model. The record is from RNAcentral.
UCNUCUGUGAAAUUCCGGGGCUUAACUUCGGGGUGGCAGGCGAUACGGGCAUAACUAGGGUGCUGUAGGGGAGACUGGAAUUCCUGGUGUAGCGGUGGAAUGCGCAGAUAUCAGGAGGAACACCGAUGGCGAAGGCAGGUCUCUGGNCAGUAACUGACGCUGAGGAGCGAAAGCAUGGGGAGCGAACAGGAUUAGAUACCCUGGUAGUCCAUGCUGUAAACGGUGGGCGUUAGGUGUGGGGACCGGUUUGGUUUCUGUGCCGUAGCUAACGCAUUAAGCGCCCCGCCUGGGGAGUACGGCCGCAAGGCUAAAACUCAAAGGAAUUGACGGGGGCCCGCACAAGCGGCGGAGCAUGUGGAUUAAUUCGAUGCAACGCGAAGAACCUUACCUGGGUUUGACAUGCACCAGACGGUUGUAGAGAUACGUACCUCCCUUUGUGGUUGGUGUGCAGGUGGUGCAUGGUUGUCGUCAGCUCGUGUCGUGAGAUGUUGGGUUAAGUCCCGCAACGAGCGCAACCCUUGUCUUAUGUUGCCAGCACUUUGGGUGGGGACUCAUGAGAGACUGCCGGGGUUAACUCGGAGGAAGGUGGGGAUGACGUCAAAUCAUCAUGCCCUUUAUGCCCAGGGCUUCACACAUGCUACAAUGGUUAGUACAACGCGCUGCGAACCUGUGAGGGUGAGCGAAUCGCUGAAAGCUAAUCUCAGUUCGGAUUGGGGUCUGCAACUCGACCCCAUGAAGUCGGAGUCGCUAGUAAUCGCAGAUCAGCAAUGCUGCGGUGAAUACGUUCCCGGGCCUUGUACACACCGCCCGUCACGUCAUGAAAGUUGGUAACACCCGAAGCCCAUGGCCUAACCACCGUUUGGUGGGGGGAGUGNUCGAAGGUGGGAU